Molecule: ribosomal RNA, 467 nt
Filed under: uncultured bacterium
Lineage: Bacteria
Description: partial 16S ribosomal RNA
Rfam family: Bacterial small subunit ribosomal RNA
Source: RNAcentral
ACGAACGCUGGCGGCGUGCUUCACACAUGCAAGUCGAACGGAAAGGCCCUGCUUUUGUGGGGUGCUCGAGUGGCGAACGGGUGAGUAACACGUGAGUAACCUGCCCUUGACUUUGGGAUAACUUCAGGAAACUGGGGCUAAUACCGGAUAGGAGCUCCUGCUGCAUGGUGGGGGUUGGAAAGUUUCGGCGGUUGGGGAUGGACUCGCGGCUUAUCAGCUUGUUGGUGGGGUAGUGGCUUACCAAGGCUUUGACGGGUAGCCGGCCUGAGAGGGUGACCGGCCACAUUGGGACUGAGAUACGGCCCAGACUCCUACGGGAGGCAGCAGUGGGGAAUAUUGCACAAUGGGCGGAAGCCUGAUGCAGCAACGCCGCGUGCGGGAUGACGGCCCUCGGGUUGUAAACCGCUUUCGCCUGUGACGAAGCGUGAGUGACGGUAAUGGGUAAAGAAGCACCGGCUAACUACGUG